RNAcentral lists this ribosomal RNA (253 nucleotides) under uncultured bacterium. RNAcentral's name for it is "partial 16S ribosomal RNA". It matches the Rfam family "Bacterial small subunit ribosomal RNA", at positions 524 to 776 of the family's 1533-position model. The record is from RNAcentral.
UACGUAGGGGGCAAGCGUUGUCCGGAAUCAUUGGGCGUAAAGAGCUCGUAGGCGGUCUGUUACGUCUGCUGUGAAAACCCAGGGCUUAACCCUGGGCUCGCAGUGGAUACGGGCAGACUAGAGGCAGGUAGGGGAGAAUGGAAUUCCCGGUGUAGCGGUGAAAUGCAUUGAGAUCGGAAAGAACACCAACGGCGAAAGCACUCUGCUGGGCCGACACUGACACUGAGAGACGAAAGCUAGGGGAGCAAAUGGG